CUCCCCUCCAUCCAAAAUACUAUAGCAACUCUAUAUAAAUAGCUAUUGGCGGCGAUGAAUAGUAAGUCGUUCUGCAUGUUUGUUUGAUUUUUUGGCAUUUUAUUUUUUGAUAUUGCUGUCAAACUUUUUCUACAAGCAGUGCUCGAAGAUAUGGAAUGUUAGAUUAUAAGCUCGUUUAUUGUUAUUUAUUGAAAGGUUAUGUCUUUUCAUAAGGUUGUAUCUUUUAGAAAAGAGAUGUGCCUCUUCAUAAGGUUGCAUUUUUAGAUUAGAGAUGUCUCUUUGUAAGGUUGUGUCAUUUAGAUUAGAGAUAUAUUUUUUAUGAAGUAGGAUGUUUCUUUGUCAGGAUGUAUCUCUUAAUAAGUAAUUUUUUGUAAAAAGUUGUGUCCCUCCAUUUCU
This 396-nucleotide long non-coding RNA is filed under the name Elaeis guineensis (African oil palm). RNAcentral describes it as "long non-coding RNA (EGUI_LNC003054)". Lineage: Eukaryota; Viridiplantae; Streptophyta; Magnoliopsida; Arecales; Arecaceae. The record is from RNAcentral.